This 241-nucleotide unclassified non-coding RNA is filed under the name plant metagenome. RNAcentral describes it as "partial contains small subunit ribosomal RNA, internal transcribed spacer 1, and 5.8S ribosomal RNA". The record is from RNAcentral.
UUUCCGUAGGUGAACCUGCGGAAGGAUCAUUAUUGAAUGAAACACUUCUGGCUUUCUGCUGUCGUGCUGGCCCUUUGGGCAAUGUGCACACGGCUCUGGUCACUUGUUUCUUCUGUUCCACCUGUGCACUGCCUGUAGACACGCUGUGUCUAUGAUAUUUGUUAACACACAACAAUGUUAGUUGGCAUGUUAUAUAUAAUAAUAAAAUAUACAACUUUCAACAACGGAUCUCUUGGCUCUC